AUUAUAAUUAAUUAUAAAAUUUUUAUAUUUAUUAAAAUUAUAAUAAAAUUAUAUUGUUUUAGUAUUUAUUAUAAAAAAAUUUAUUAAAUUAUAGUUUAAAGUAAUGUAAAUGAAAUUUAUAUAAAUAAUUAAAAGUAAAAAUUAAUUUUUUACCUUUUGUAUCAGGAUUAAUUAAUUUUAUAUAAUAAUAUUUAUUCAUCUCGAAAAUAAAAGAGCUAAAAAUAAAUUAUUUUUAUUAUAGCAAUAAUAUUAUAAAUUUAUUUUUAGAAAUUAAAUGUUAUUCGAAUUUAUUAAUAUCUAGUUUUUUAUGAAAUAAAUUUAAUUUAUAUAUAAAUUUAUUUAUUUAUAUAAUAACUAAUAUAAAUAAAUAAUUUAUAUAAAAAAUUUAUGGGAUAAACUAUAAAUUUAAAUUUAUUAUUUAUAUAUUAAAAUAUAAAUAUAUUAUAUUCAUAAAAUUUGAAAUUAAUUUAAAAUAUUUAAUAAUUUAAUAAAAUAAAUAAAAAUUUUAAAAUAAAUAUAAAUUUUUAAUAAAAAAAUUUUUUUAAUAUUUAUAAAAAUGAUAUAANNNNNNNNNNNNNNNNNNNNNNNNNNNNNNNNNNNNNNNNNNNNNNUAUAUAUAUAUAUAUAUAUAUAUAUAUAUAUAAGGAAUUCGGCAAAAUAAAUAUAUUCACCUGUUUAUCAAAAACAUGGCUUAUAGAUUAUAAUUUUAAGUCAAUCUGCCCAAUGAAAAAAUUUAAUGGCUGCAGUAUAACUAACUGUACAAAGGUAGCAUAAUCAAUUGUCUUUUAAUUAAAGGCUGGAAUGAAAGAAUUAAUGAAAUAUAUUCUGUCUCUAAUAUAAUUAUUGAAAUUAAAUUUUAAGUUAAAAUUCUUAAAUAUAAUUAUGGGACGAUAAGACCCUAUAAAAUUUUAUAUUAUAUUUAUAUAUUAAAUUAUAUUAAAUUAUUAUAUAAAUUAUAAUAUUUUAUUGGGGGGAUAAUUAAAUUUAAUAAACUUUAAUAAAAUUAAUCUAUUAUUUUAGAAUAUAAAAUGAAUUAAUAUUAUUAAUUUUUAGAAUAAAUUACUUUAGGGAUAACAGCGUAAUAUCUUUUUAUAGAUCAUAUUAAAAAAGAUGAUUGCGACCUCGAUGUUGAAUUAAGAUAUAAUUUAAAUGCAGAAGUUUAAAAUUUAAGUCUGUUCGACUUUUAAAAUCUUACAUGAUUUGAGUUCAGAUCGACGUAAGUCAGAUCGGUUUCUAUCUAUAAUUUUAUAAUUAUUUUUUGUACGAAAGGACUAAAAUAAUAAAAUACUUUUAAUAAAUUUAAUAAAUAUAUAUUAUAUAUAUAUAUAUAUAUAAUUAUUUUAGCAAAUUAGUGCAUU
RNAcentral lists this ribosomal RNA (1358 nucleotides) under Nomada goodeniana. RNAcentral's name for it is "16S ribosomal RNA". The record is from RNAcentral. Lineage: Eukaryota; Metazoa; Arthropoda; Insecta; Hymenoptera; Apidae.